GCGCUUGUGAGCGAGCAUUUAGGCGCAGAAAGCGUGGAAGCCUUUUCGCGGGAUAACGGUUGGAAACGCCGUAUACCGCAUACGCCCUACGGGGGAAAGGUCCGCCGGAAAAGAGGGGCCCGCGUCUGAUUAGCUGGUUGGUAGGGUAAUGGCCUACCAAGGCACGAUCAGUAGCGGUGAAGGAUGAUCAGCCACACUGGGUGAACACGGCCCAACUCCUACGGAGGAGCGGGGGAAUAUUGACAAUGGGGGCAACCCUGAUCCCAAUGCCGCGUGUGGAGAAGGCCUUAGGGUUGUAAAGCAUUUCACUGGGAAAUGAUGACGGUAACCAGAAAAAGCCCCGGUAACUUCGUGCCAGCAGCCGCGGUAAUACGAGGGGGCGAGCGUUGUUCGGAAUUACUGGGCGUAAAGGGCGCGUAGCGGUCUUUUAAGUUAGGCGUGAAAGCCCCGGGCUCAACCUGGGAACUGCGCUUAAUACUGAAGACUAGAAAACGGAAGAGGGUAGUGGAAUUCCCAGGUAGAGGUGAAAUUCGUAAUAUUGGGAAGAACACGUGGCGAAAGCGGCUACCUGGUCCGAUUUUGACGCUGAGGCGCGAAAGCGUGGGGAGCAAACAGGAUUAGAACCCUGGUAGUCCACGCCGUAAACGAUGUCUGCUAGAUGUCGGGGGGUUGCCCUCGGUGUCGCCGCUAACGCAUUAGAACCGCUGGAAUACGGUCGAAUUAAAACUCAAAGGAAUUGACGGGGGCCCGCACAAGGGUGGAGCAUGUGUUAUUCGAAGACGCGAAACUACAGUCUUGAUGGGAGUUUGGUUCCGGAACGGAUUCCUUCAUUCGGCUGGUCCCACACAGGGUGCAUGGCUGCGUACUCGGGAAUGAUCGCUCCCGCAACAGCCACCAUCUUAGUCUCCGUUCGGGCCUCAAAAAUGCCUGAAAGAAAGAGGGGUACACUCUGUUGGUGUCCCACGGCCUACAAGAUGGGGGACCGUACAU
RNAcentral lists this ribosomal RNA (990 nucleotides) under uncultured SAR116 cluster alpha proteobacterium. Its description in RNAcentral is "bacterial SSU rRNA". It matches the Rfam family "Bacterial small subunit ribosomal RNA", at positions 84 to 1158 of the family's 1533-position model. The record is from RNAcentral. Lineage: Bacteria; Pseudomonadati; Pseudomonadota; Alphaproteobacteria; Puniceispirillales (SeqCode).